UAGUCCAUCGCAAAUAGCGCUAGCUCGUCGAAAAUAAGAGAACGCAGAAAUAAAGUAGAGCUCAGAAUUAAAGUGUAGCUCGUCAACAAACUGGCAAUGAGAGAGCGAGAGAGGGCGCAAUUUCCUACGAUAGCUGUGCUCUACGAAAUUCAACUUUCUGAAAUAUAUACAUGAUAUAGCAAAACUAAUUAUCUGUUUAUAGAAUUAGUGUUCGGAAUCCUGAUUUCUGAGUGAACUUCAGUUGAACAGAAAAUCUUUGAGGGACCAUCGACAUCAAAUUAUUGGCAUUCCAUACCAAAAAAAAUCAAAUGGGAUCAAGUUUUUAGCAGUCUCAGCCAGUCAGAAGUACAGCUACCAUUUGCACAUCACCAAGAGUAACAAUCUGAUGAAGAAGAUAUCUGAACUCAAAACUUUCAAGGUUUUGCAGGCUGUUUGAGUAGCACCAGGGCAGAUUAAGAAGAAAUAUGGAGGUCAAGUUCAUAACAAGUAGUUACUGCAUCGCAGUUACACCUUUUAAAAAAUCAAUGAAUUUGAAUAAAUGUGUACAUUAAUGCAUAUAUAUUGAAUGUUGCUUGAACUACACAUCUGUAGAAAAAAAAACAUUGGAGUAUAAAUAUUUAGGUUUCACACAACAUUAAAACAUUUUUCCAAAGGGCACACCUACCCUUUAUUAAUGAUCUAAUCAUCUAAAUGUAGUAUUGUGUUAGUGAAAGUACUUUUAAUGAUAUUAGUAGUUUGAAAGGGAUAGGUUGUAUUCUGGUGAUAUAAUAAAUUCAGAAUGGGUCUUUACUGAGGUCUGGGCUGUCUAACAUACGUGCCUACAGACAUAUAUAAGAUAAUAAGAAAUGAUGGAUUUAAUGUGCAUACUAAAAAAGCAAGGUGGCAGAAUAAAUGAUUGAGAAAUCCCUCUCACUCCUAGACCCUAUUUCAUUAAGACUUAACCUCUACUCUAAAUCUGCCAUUCUGGUAAUUACCAUGAAAACAUUAAAGCAACAGGU
Lytechinus variegatus (green sea urchin) is the source of this 998-nucleotide long non-coding RNA. RefSeq lists it as uncharacterized. NCBI's taxonomy places the organism in Eukaryota, Metazoa, Echinodermata, Echinoidea, Temnopleuroida, Toxopneustidae. The transcript has 3 exons. The record is from RefSeq and is a predicted model, not a curated record.